CCUACGUGAGGCAGCAGUGAGGAAUAUUGGUCAAUGGGCGCGAGCCUGAACCAGCAAAGUAGCGUGAAGGAUGACUGCCCUACGGGUUGUAAACUUCUUUUAUAAAGGAAUAAAGUGAGGCACGUGUGCCUUUUUGUAUGUACUUUAUGAAUAAGGAUCGGCUAAUUCCGUGCCAGCAGCCGAUGUAAUACGGAGGAUCCGAGCUUUAUACGGAUUUAUUGGGGUUAAAGGGAGCGUAGAUGGGUUGUUAAGUCAGUUGUGAAAGUGUGCGGCGCACCCGUAAAAUUACCAUUGAUACUGGCAGUCUUGAGUACAGUUGAGGUAGGCGGAAUUCGUGGUGUAGCGGUGAAAUGCUUAGAUAUCACGAAGAACUCCGAUUGCGAAGGCAGCCUACUAAACUGCCACUGACAUUGAUGCUCGAAAGUGUAGGUAUCAAACAGGAUUAGAUACCCCAGUAGUC
This 460-nucleotide ribosomal RNA is filed under the name uncultured bacterium. RNAcentral describes it as "partial 16S ribosomal RNA". It matches the Rfam family "Bacterial small subunit ribosomal RNA", at positions 338 to 795 of the family's 1533-position model. The record is from RNAcentral.